RNAcentral lists this microRNA precursor (210 nucleotides) under Oryza rufipogon (brownbeard rice). Its description in RNAcentral is "MIR812 microRNA precursor family". It matches the Rfam family "MIR812 microRNA precursor family". The record is from Rfam by way of RNAcentral. Lineage: Eukaryota; Viridiplantae; Streptophyta; Magnoliopsida; Poales; Poaceae.
AAUAAGUGCAGCCGUGAAUAUCCGUGUCUAACAUUUGACCGUCCGUCUUAUUUGAAAAAUUUGUGAAAAAAAUAAAAAAAAAAUUAGUCACACAUAAAGUACUAUUCAUAUUUUAGCAUCUAAUAGCAAUAAAAAUACUAAUCAUAAAAAAUUUUUAAAUAAGACGAACGAUCAAACGUUGAACGUGAAUAGUGUAAAACUACACUUAUU